UUUCAUUGAGCAGCACGCUCAACGACACGGAAGGAUAAAAAUAGGAACGGUUAUCUUUUGGAAGCGUACUCGACCAGUCGUUCCGCGCCGUAGCAUUCAGAAAGAUCAUGUUGUCGUAGCUCAAAUCUAAUAAACCGUAAGCGCUGUAAAUAUUCUUUUUAUAAGUGAAGUCGUAACAAGGUAGCCGUAA
Molecule: ribosomal RNA, 190 nt
Filed under: uncultured bacterium
Lineage: Bacteria
Description: partial 16S ribosomal RNA
Source: RNAcentral